AACGAACGCUGGCGGCAGGCCUAACACAUGCAAGUCGAGCGAACCCUUCGGGGUUAGCGGCGGACGGGUUAGUAACGCGUGGGAAUAUACCCUUUGGUACGGAAUAGCCUCGGGAAACUGAGAGUAAUACCGUAUGUGCCCUUGGGGGAAGAUUUAUCGCCAAAGGAUUAGCCCGCGUUGGAUUAGAUAGUUGGUGGGGUAAUGGCCUACCAAGUCUACGAUCCAUAGCUGGUUUGAGAGGAUGAUCAGCAACACUGGGAUUGAGACACGGCCCAGACUCCUACGGGAGGCAGCAGUGGGGAAUCUUAGACAAUGGGCGCAAGCCUGAUCUAGCCAUGCCGCGUGGACGACGAAGGCCUUAGGGUUGUAAAGUCCUUUCAGAUGGGAAGAUAAUGACGGUACCAUCAGAAGAAGCCCCGGCUAACUCCGUGCCAGCAGCCGCGGUAAUGUCUGUACU
Molecule: ribosomal RNA, 457 nt
Filed under: uncultured bacterium
Lineage: Bacteria
Description: bacterial SSU rRNA
Rfam family: Bacterial small subunit ribosomal RNA
Source: RNAcentral